This 227-nucleotide long non-coding RNA is filed under the name Carica papaya (papaya). Its description in RNAcentral is "long non-coding RNA (CPAP_LNC008137)". Lineage: Eukaryota; Viridiplantae; Streptophyta; Magnoliopsida; Brassicales; Caricaceae. The record is from RNAcentral.
GAAUGUUCAAGCGGAUCCAGAAAGGUUGUUGUGCAAAGGAGUGGUAAUUAUUUCCAAUUCUGAAUCUAUAUUAGGAUUUUGGAAUUAUGCAUGUAUUUUAUUAAUUUUGUGCAUGUUUUAAAAUAGAACGGAUACUGACCUAAUUUUUGAUGAAGAACAUAACCCGGACCUAUGACAAGUGAACCUAAGCUAUUAGAAUUUACGAAAAGAUAAUACUAGAAACAAAC